CCAACAUACUGUACUACACAAGAUCCGAAAAGAAAAGGAGAAAUUCCUGCUUAUAUCGCGGUGAGGAGGAGCAUGCCACAUUGCCACACAAAGAAGCGAACUCAAACCGACGAAAAGCCAUUCAAAAGCACCCGCAGCAGCAGGGGGCGGGCUUGGGCUUCAACUUUCACCCACGCCACCGCGCUGCAUGAUAUCGCACCACAUGUACGCUCGCUCAGCCUGCCUGCCUGCCAUCA
RNAcentral lists this long non-coding RNA (236 nucleotides) under Hordeum vulgare. RNAcentral's name for it is "long non-coding RNA (HVUL_LNC002994)". The record is from RNAcentral. Lineage: Eukaryota; Viridiplantae; Streptophyta; Magnoliopsida; Poales; Poaceae.